RNAcentral lists this ribosomal RNA (428 nucleotides) under uncultured bacterium. RNAcentral describes it as "partial 16S ribosomal RNA". It matches the Rfam family "Bacterial small subunit ribosomal RNA", at positions 354 to 796 of the family's 1533-position model. The record is from RNAcentral.
GUGGGGAAUAUUGGGCAAUGGGCGCAAGCCUGACCCAGCAACGCCGCGUGAGGGAAGAAGGCUUUCGGGUUGUAAACCUCUGUCCUUGGUGACGAAACAAAUGACGGUAGCCAAGGAGGAAGCCCCGGCUAACUACGUGCCAGCAGCCGCGGUAAUGCGUAGGGGGCGAGCGUUGUCCGGAAUUACUGGGCGUAAAGGGUGCGUAGGUGGCCUUUUAAGUUGGAUGUGAAAUACCCGGGCUUAACUUGGGGGGUGCAUCUAAUACUGGAGGGCUAGAGUGCAGGAGAGGGAAGCGGAAUUCCUAGUGUAGCGGUGAAAUGCGUAGAUAUUAGGAGGAACACCAGUGGCGAAGGCGGCUUUCUGGACUGUAACUGACACUGAGGCACGAAAGCGUGGGGAGCAAACAGGAUUAGAAACCCUUGUAGUCC